UACGUAGGGUGCAAGCGUUGUCCGGAAUUAUUGGGCGUAAAGAGCUCGUAGGCGGUCUGUCGCGUCGUGCUGUGAAAACCUGGGGCUUAACUCUGGGCGUGCAGUGGGUACGGGCAGACUAGAGUGCAGUAGGGGAGACUGGAAUUCCUGGAUGUAGCGGUGAAAUGCGCAGAUAUCUGGAGGAACACCGGGUGGCGAAGGCGGCGAUCUGGCCCAACAUUGACACUGAGACCCGAAAGCGUGGGGAUCAAAACAGGACUUAGGAAACCCG
This 271-nucleotide ribosomal RNA is filed under the name uncultured bacterium. Its description in RNAcentral is "partial 16S ribosomal RNA". It matches the Rfam family "Bacterial small subunit ribosomal RNA", at positions 524 to 789 of the family's 1533-position model. The record is from RNAcentral.